CACGCUCAUAUUUCCACGGAGGUUUUUACGGAGACAAAGGUGGAGCAGGGCGCUGGUGUGAGGUGGCUGCGGUGUUUGAGGGUAACAUCAAGUCUUCAUCAAGAGCCAGACAUGCCUCAGGAUAACAGGUAUUUGAGAACCUCCUGUGGGCUUUCAAAAUGAAAAUGCACACAGACAGCAAACGCCAAUUAUUUCUGUACCAUCAGCUGAAAGUCUGGGAAAAGCUUCCCCUACCGACUGAGUCCUGGAGGAGCCGUCAGCAAGGGUGCAAACAGAUGAAGGGAAAGAGGGAUGUCCUAGUUUUAUUUCUAGAGAGAGCGGCACUUCACUAUUUAAGGAAUAGCUUUUUCCUUUGUACACUAAAUUUUUUUGCAAUGGGGAAUAUAUUUUAAAAGGUGCCUUUUUAAUCUCUUUUUCUGUUUAGUGGCUUAGAUGGCCAUCUUUUGGAUGCUAUGAAAAUUCAC
Molecule: long non-coding RNA, 464 nt
Filed under: Equus asinus (donkey)
Lineage: Eukaryota; Metazoa; Chordata; Mammalia; Perissodactyla; Equidae
Description: lncRNA (ENSEASG00005031107.1)
Source: RNAcentral